Molecule: long non-coding RNA, 2419 nt
Organism: Nerophis ophidion (straightnose pipefish)
Lineage: Eukaryota; Metazoa; Chordata; Actinopteri; Syngnathiformes; Syngnathidae
Exons: 3
Source: RefSeq, a predicted model, not a curated record
AAUGAUCUAAAUUAAUGGGUUGUACUUGUAUAGCGCUUUUCUACCUUCAAGGUACUCAAAGCACUUUGACGCUACUUCCACAUUUACCCAUUCACACACACAUUCACACACUGAUGGAGGGAGCUGCCAUGCAAGGCGCCAACCAGCACCCAUCAGGAGCAAGGGUGAAGUGUCUUGCUCAGGACACAACGGACGUGACGAGGUUGGUUCUAGGUGGGAUUUGAACCAGGGACCUUCGGGUUGCGCACGGCCACUCUUCCACUGCGCCACGCCGUCCCUAAUUAAGAGUAAUAUUAUUAAUUUAGUGUUAAUAAUUGAGUGGGCCCCGGGCUCCUCUGUAGUGGAAAAGUUGGGCCUGCUCAUACUCUAUUAUUUGGUAUUUUCAACACUUAAAGGGGAACAUUAUCACAAUUUCAGAAGGGUUAAAACCAAUAAAAAUCAGUUCCCAGUGGCUUAUCUUAUUUUUCAAGUUUUUUUCAAAAUUUUACCCAUCAUGGAAUAUCCCGGAAAAAGGCUUUAAAGGGCCUGAUUUUCGCUAUCUUUAAAUCCAUCGUCCAUUUUCCUGUGACGUCAUUUAGUGAUGCCAACAUGGCGGAUAGCACAGCAAGAUAUAGCGACAUUAGCUCGGAUUCAGACUCGGAUUUCAGCGGUUUAAGCAAUUCAACAGAUUACGCAUGUAUUGAAACGGAUGGUUGGCGUAUGGAGGCAGAUAGCGAAAAUAAAAUUGAAGAAGAAACUGAAGCUAUUGAGCGAAUAGCUAUUGAAGCUAUUCGGUGAUCUUCUUCUAACCACGAUUGAGUGUCGCAGGGUAUCCAUACAUGUCUGUGCCAUGUCUGUUGUAGCAUCGCCGGUAAAAUGUGCAGGAGCAACAUAAAUCCUUAGAUUGGUAAGUAUUUGUUUGGCAUUAAAUGUGGGUGGAGUGAAAGGCUGGAUGCAAAUAUAGCUACAUAUGUACAUACAGCUAGCCUAAAUAGCAUGUUAGCAUCGAUUAGCUGGCAGUCAUGCUGCGACUAAAUGUGUCUAUUCAGCACAUAAGUCAAUAACAUCAACAAAACUCACCUUUGUGAUAUCGUUGACUUUAUCGUUGGAAAUGCAUCUGCUUUGAGUGUCGCAGGGUAUCCACACAUCUCUGUGCUAUCUCUGUCGUAGCAUCGCCGGUAAAAUGUGCAGACGAGGGACUUUCGGAUCUUUUGACACUGGUGCGGUGCAACUUGAACCCGUCGAUUGCUGCCGUCGACUCCCCUGAGACACUGCGCGUCAACACCCGGCCGUGGACACACCCUUCCGACUAUCAGCCUGCAGUGCCUCAGACUGGAAGUCUCUCCAGAGAGUGGUGAGGACGGCAGAAAAGAUCAUCAGGACCCCUCUUCCUUCUAUCCAGGAGAUUGCAAAAAGCCGCUGCCUGACCAGGGUUCAGAAAAUCUGUAGUGACUCCUCCCACCCCCACCAAGGACUGUUUUCACUGCUGGACUCUAGAAAGAGGUUCCGCAGCUUUCGAAGCAGAACUUCCAGGUUCUGUAACACCUUCUUCCCUCAUGCCGUAAGACUCUUGAACGCAUCAUAAAAAUCGCCACAAUUCCCCCCAAACAUGGAUUAAUUUACUGAAAUAUAAAGGUAAUAUAACAUACAUCCAGAAACCUGGAUGCAUAUGCAAAAGUGCAAUAUUUAUCUGUACAUUAAUCUAUUUAUUUGAGCUAUGAGCUAAUGCAACAAAAUUUUGUUCUUAUCUGUACUGUAAAGUUCAAAUUUGAAUGACAAUAAAAAGGAAGUCUAAGUCUGCUAGAGAUGAUGCAAGAAAAUAAAAAAAAAAUCACAAGAGUAUGUGAAAGUUUGACUCCUACCUUGUUUACUUCUGUGAAAACCUCCUUAAAAUUUAGUAAACAAUCAGAAAUAUCAAGCAGAUUAAAUACGGCAAACGUGGAUAAGUGUGGAGAGUGUAAAAAAUGUUCCCAUCAUGCGAAUAUCAUGCAUUUUAAUGAAUAGUUAUUUACAUUUUUUUUUAUUGUGCAUGAAUGUUUUUUUUUACAACGUCCACAAACUUCAGUGAGCAGGUUGUGUUGUGUGGGACCCAUCCAUCCGUCCAUUUUACUACCGCUUAUUCCCUUUGGGGUCGCGGAGGGCGCUGGUGCCUAUCUCAGCUACAAUCGGGCGGAAGGCGGCGUACACCCUGGACAAGUCGCCACCUCAUCGCAGCUGUGUGGGGCCAUGUCUGUUAACAUUUUGUGUUGGUUAAACAUGUAUUUGACUAGAGAAGGUUGUUUGCAUUGGGCUAUAGAAGUAAAUGCAGCACAUUUGUCCAUCCAGAGCAUAAUUAAAAGUUCAUUGACCAGAAUUACUCGCCUUGUCUACUAGAUCAGUGUUUUUCAACCACUGUGCCGUGAGAUACCGUCUGGUGUGCCGUGGGAGUUGUCUAAUCUCA